RNAcentral lists this ribosomal RNA (253 nucleotides) under uncultured bacterium. RNAcentral's name for it is "partial 16S ribosomal RNA". It matches the Rfam family "Bacterial small subunit ribosomal RNA", at positions 524 to 776 of the family's 1533-position model. The record is from RNAcentral.
GACAGAGGGUGCAAACGUUGUUCGGAAUUACUGGGCGUAAAGCGCGUGUAGGCGGCCAACUAAGUCGGGCGUGAAAUCCCACGGCUCAACCGUGGAAGUGCACUCGAAACUGGAUGGCUAGAGUCCUGGAGAGGAAGGUGGAAUGCUUGGUGUAGAGGUGAAAUUCGUAGAUAUCAAGCGGAACACCAGUGGCGAAGGCGACAUACUGGGUCAUGACUGACGCUGAGGCUCGAAAGCGUGGGGAGCAAACAGG